RNAcentral lists this ribosomal RNA (254 nucleotides) under uncultured bacterium. RNAcentral's name for it is "partial 16S ribosomal RNA". It matches the Rfam family "Bacterial small subunit ribosomal RNA", at positions 524 to 776 of the family's 1533-position model. The record is from RNAcentral.
UACGUAGGGUGCAAGCGUUGUCCGGAAUUAUUGGGCGUAAAGAGCUCGUAGGCGGUUUGUCGCGUCGAAUGUGAAAACCCGGGGCUCAACCCCGGGCCUGCAUUCGAUACGGGCAGACUAGAGUUCGGUAGGGGAGUCUGGAAUUCCUGGUGUAGCGGUGAAAUGCGCAGAUAUCAGGAGGAACACCGGUGGCGAAGGCGGGACUCUGGGCCGAUACUGACGCUGAGGAGCGAAAGUGUGGGGAGCGAAACAGG